GCCAGUGUGUGUGUUUCUUUGCCUGAUGGCUUUCUAGAAACUGUGAGCUGCCACUCUGCCUGUGCACAUGAAGGAAUUACAUGACUAUUGCAAGCUAGUGUGUAAAUAGCCCAGCUCCAUGAAUGAGAUAACAUGGAGGUGUGCAUUCUUUGCCAGUGCUACUUGAAGUGUGGUCCCUAGACCAGUGACAAGCUGUGAAAUGUUUAUUGCUUGUACAUUUCAAGACUCCAAUGUGUCAGAGAAGAAAGGAAGACCCAGAAACAGCCAAGGAGAGGGGCUGAGGAAUGAGAGAUGAAGGAGACAACAGAUUGUCCUUCUCAUUGCCAAACCUUAGAGUGGGCCCGAGGGGAUUGGACUGGGAAAUUAAAGGUUCCUGGAAGGUGAUUACUUUGAGGCACAGAGAGGUCAAGGCCUGUCCAAGGUCACACAGCUAAUGAACGGGAGAGCCUGGAUUCAAAACCCCAGCAGUCUGAUUGAUUGAUGCCAGAGCCAUAUUCUCAAUCAUGCUUUGAAAGGCAACUCCCAUUCCCAGUCCAGUCAAGAAUUCAAAUUGUUUCUACAGACCUGAAAAUCAUUUUAACAGUACCCAUUUCUGU
This is a long non-coding RNA of Sapajus apella (tufted capuchin), 596 nucleotides long. RefSeq lists it as uncharacterized. The record is from RefSeq and is a predicted model, not a curated record. The transcript is spliced from 3 exons. Lineage: Eukaryota; Metazoa; Chordata; Mammalia; Primates; Cebidae.